UACGGGGGGGGCAAGCGUUGUUCGGAAUUACUGGGCGUAAAGGGCUCGUAGGCGGCCAACUAAGUCAGACGUGAAAUCCCUCGGCUCAACCGGGGAACUGCGUCUGAUACUGGAUGGCUUGAAUCCGGAAGAGGGAUGCGGAAUUCCAGGUGUAGCGGUGAAAUGCGUAGAUAUCUGGAGGAACACCGGUGGCGAAGGCGGCAUCCUGGGUCGGAAUUGACGCUGAGGAGCGAAAGCCAGGGGAGCAAACGGG
This 253-nucleotide ribosomal RNA is filed under the name uncultured bacterium. RNAcentral's name for it is "partial 16S ribosomal RNA". It matches the Rfam family "Bacterial small subunit ribosomal RNA", at positions 524 to 776 of the family's 1533-position model. The record is from RNAcentral.